CGGUGUACUUUUUCCUUAAUUUGACGAUACUGAUGCCGAUAUGCGAUUCGCGGCGUUGGACUUGAAGCAUGGGCCUCAAUCCAUUGGCCCUGCACUAGUACUUCAAGAACACUCAAUUCAAGAUAUUUCAGCGUCGGAUUCAGCCUAAGCGACGGAUUUAGCCUAGCAAGGGCGGUCUUCGAGCUGUCACUUGUCAGUGUUCACCCCUUCACGGCUUCACCCAUCUCCAUCCAUCGACGGACCAUUUGCGCUUGGCAAUGGCACGAAGCGUCCACAAGUCUCCACGUCCCCGCGUACUGGGCGACAUGAUUUUUUUUUUUAAAAAAAGAAAACUAAAGAGCACUUUAUUCCAACUUAGAAGCAUAGAACAUGCUAGAUUACAAAUUUUCUGAGACUGAUGUUGUCUCUGACAGAGUUUGCAUAACGAUAGGCUAGAUGAGAUAUGUUUUGACAAAUGAAAACAGGAGCAGAAGGCUGCUUGGAUUUUGCUUCUUUAGCUAACCUAUCUGCUGACUUGUUUAUCUCCCUUGGGAUUCAGCUAACCUGCAAAAGACAUUCUGG
Molecule: small RNA, 561 nt
Filed under: Oryza sativa Japonica Group (Japanese rice)
Lineage: Eukaryota; Viridiplantae; Streptophyta; Magnoliopsida; Poales; Poaceae
Description: sRNA Os09g0422250
Source: RNAcentral